GUAAAGGGCUCGUAGGCGGUUCGUCGCGUCCGGUGUGAAAGUCCAUCGCCUAACGGUGGAUCUGCGCCGGGUACGGGCGGGCUGGAGUGCGGUAGGGGAGACUGGAAUUCCCGGUGUAACGGUGGAAUGUGUAGAUAUCGGGAAGAACACCAAUGGCGAAGGCAGGUCUCUGGGCCGUCACUGACGCUGAGGAGCGAAAGCGUGGGGAGCGAACAGGAUUAGAUACCCUGGUAGUCCACGCCGUAAACGGUGGAUGCUGGAUGUGGGGCCCUUUCCACGGGUCCCGUGUCGGAGCCAACGCGUUAAGCAUCCCGCCUGGGGAGUACGGCCGCAAGGCUAAAACUCAAAGAAAUUGACGGGGGCCCGCACAAGCGGCGGAGCAUGCGGAUUAAUUCGAUGCAACGCGAAGAACCUUACCUGGGCUUGACAUGUGCCGGAUCGCCGUGGAGACACGGUUUCCCUUCGGGGCCGGUUCACAGGUGGUGCAUGGUCGUCGUCAGCUCGUGUCGUGAGAUGUUGGGUUAAGUCCCGCAACGAGCGCAACCCUCGCCGCAUGUUGCCAGCGGGUGAUGCCGGGAACUCAUGUGGGACCGCCGGGGUCAACUCGGAGGAAGGUGGGGAUGACGUCAGAUCAUCAUGCCCCUUACGUCCAGGGCUUCACGCAUGCUACAAUGGCCGGUACAACGCGGUGCGACACGGUGACGUGGGGCGGAUCGCUGAAAACCGGUCUCAGUUCGGAUCGCAGUCUGCAACUCGACUGCGUGAAGGCGGAGUCGCUAGUAAUCGCGGAUCAGCAACGCCGCGGUGAAUGCGUUCCCGGGCCUUGUACACACCGCCCGUCAAGUCAUGAAAGUGGGUAGCACCCGAAGCCGGUGGCCCGACCCUUGUGGGGGGAGCCGUCUAAGGUGAGACUCGUGAUUGGGACUAAGUCGUAAC
This 936-nucleotide ribosomal RNA is filed under the name Bifidobacterium animalis subsp. lactis. RNAcentral's name for it is "bacterial SSU rRNA". It matches the Rfam family "Bacterial small subunit ribosomal RNA", at positions 560 to 1492 of the family's 1533-position model. Lineage: Bacteria; Bacillati; Actinomycetota; Actinomycetes; Bifidobacteriales; Bifidobacteriaceae. The record is from RNAcentral.